This 200-nucleotide ribosomal RNA is filed under the name uncultured bacterium. RNAcentral's name for it is "partial 16S ribosomal RNA". It matches the Rfam family "Bacterial small subunit ribosomal RNA", at positions 328 to 545 of the family's 1533-position model. The record is from RNAcentral.
ACGCUCGACACCUACGGGUGGCAGCAGUGGGGAAUAUUGCACAAUGGGGGAAACCCUGAUGCAGCGACGCCGCGUGAGCGAAGAAGUAUUUCGGUAUGUAAAGCUCUAUCAGCAGGGAANAAACUGACGGUACCUGACUAAGAAGCACCGGCUAAAUACGUGCCAGCAGCCGAGUAUCUGAGCGGGCGUGGACGAACGGC